Long non-coding RNA from Gorilla gorilla gorilla (western lowland gorilla), 427 nucleotides. RefSeq lists it as uncharacterized. The record is from RefSeq and is a predicted model, not a curated record. NCBI's taxonomy places the organism in Eukaryota, Metazoa, Chordata, Mammalia, Primates, Hominidae. The transcript is spliced from 2 exons.
GAAUCCAAAAGUGAUGUUGGAUCAAGUGCAGCCGUCUUGUCACCAUGAAGUAAUAAGCUUGAUAAGGCACUCACUGAGGAUGACUAAGAAGAAAUUCAAGAGGAAAUCAUUGUCUCUUGAAGAUUCCUGGACCUGUGAAUCUUGGUUAUGGGAGGAAAAGCAUCACAUACUGGACUUUGAUGAAGAGAAUGCACAGCCUUCCAGAGAAGGCAAUACCUUGCCCCAGCCCUGCAAGGUAUUCCUACCCAUCUGGAACUGUGAUGGAGUCUUCAAAAUGCCAUUGCAUUGUUCUACCAAGCCAGUGGCUUCAGGAUGAUGGGUAAUAUAAUAAGACCAGUAAAAUCCAUGACCAAGGGCCCAUUGCUGCACUUCUUUCACUGUGAAGUGAGUUCCUUGUUCAGAAUAAAUCCUGUGCAGAAUAUCACGA